AAUGAUAGGAACAUCCCGUUUGGAGCUCCGUGACAUGAUGAGAGCUCUGUGUCAUGCAUUUUGUGGCAGAACCAACCUGAAUUAUACCGGCUCAAGUACGUGAGUCCAAUCCCGAGGGCUCCAACGUCCUUCAAACGGUAUAAUCCCUUGGCCUGUCGGGUAACGUCCCGAUAAACCACCGAUACACAGGAUUAAAUAAGGUUACCUCACACGAAGGUGAGUCCAGAGAUAUAAUCACCAUCAUAUUUUACAUCACAAGGAAUUACAUUAUAAGAGUUUUCAAAAGCAGUACAUUACAAACUGCUAAAGUCAUGGUUUUUGGCAGCGGAAAUCAUACGCGAUGAUUUACAGCACGUCGUCAAGACGGAUGUCAUGCUAAGCCCAGGCACGACAUCACUCGGUACCACCAAUGUUGGUCGGGGACGGAUCCCAUUUCACGGACCAACCUUCUGAAAGAGCACAGGGUCAAGGCAAGGGAAGAGUAGGGUCUUCAAGACAUUUCCUGCAAAACAUAUAACUAGCAAGGCUGAGUAUACUAAUACUCAGCAAGGCUUACCCGGGAUUGGGUAUACUUUAGCCCAUAACUAGACUCAUGAAGGCAUUUCAAGGGUUCUGGGUUUAUUUUUAGCUGAAAAGCAACAAAGAGUAUAACUUACUUUCAAGUUUAGCUUUCAGAUUCUAGUUUGAUUAGCCAAUCUAGGUAAGCACCUAUACUAAACAAGCAAGAUAUAGAUUAUCAUCCAUCAAGAUUAUUCCCUCAACAUUUACACUUUUUUACUCGAUGUGGUAGAAGGGAUAAGCAGUCUCAUUCAUCGUGAGAGGCGGACGAUUCCUGAAUCGAAAUUCAACCUUGCAAGGUAAACCUAACACACACGCCUGGAACAUCCAAAGAUCGUUCCGAAGCAACCGUUUGCCUUUCAUUCCGGGUCGUGGACAGGGCCACCACAAGCGACUGCAGGACCAUACGCACACCCUAUAUGUGCAGGGCGUACGUCUGUAGCGCGACUACAAAACCCGUACUCCUGGUUGCCCUUGCAACACGUAUUCCCACACGUCGAAUCAAGUAACCAGAAGAACAAAUACAUGUGGUGGUCAGUAUGUCCACUUGCCGGGCCGAUUGGUUACUAGGCUUACCGCUUACCAUAUUUCGCGGUAUGUGGCUAGUACUUUCAAACGCUCAGCCACCACUACCACACAUUUCGACCUUAAAGCUUUUAUCAAAACAGAUAGGGUAAACUUUAGGUCAUGAUACAACACAUGACCCUGUCCAUCAUCCUUAUAGUGGUUGCAGAAUUGUAAACAAGCAACUCCUAUAUCGCGCGAGUGACAGGGAAUCACCUGACUUUUACCGGUCCUAUUUAGCAGAGCAUCUAUGCGAAAAGGACUCGGGUACAGUACACUGGGUUCCUGAGAUAUCAUGCAACUAGAGUGUCAUUGCAACUCCUAGACGUAAUGCAAGAUAUAUAAUGUAUAAGAUUGCGUAUUGUAGUAAGUUGAAAUACUGGGUUAUGCACCGGGGCUUGCCUUUACUGGUGGGUCUGAAGUCAGUAAGUCAACAUCUUCCGAACUUUGGUUCGGGGCUUCAGAUAAUCCUUUGGUGACGUUCAUUUGGUCUUUAGAGGCAUCCUCCGCAGACUCCGGGGAGAUCUCGUAGGUACCGUUGCCGAAGUAGUCGUGUCUACAUGCAAUGCAACAUUACAUUCAAGCGUGCACACAAAACUAUUUUAUUUCACAGCAAAGCUGCAAUCCAGCACUCAUUUAACACACUAUUCAUAUAACAAACACAAAGAUCGGAAACUAACUUUGGUGGAGCUUUAGGAGGAUAACUAAUUAGAACUGGCUACUUGUUGAUGGUUACAACAGAGCCGUUUGGAAACAACGGAGGUUUAGCUGAUGGAAAGAUGCAUUAGGUUUCUAGAUGAUCGAUGAAAGCAUCGAUUAUCUUGGCAGAAGGAUGAUUCCUAAAGCAGUUGUCUUAACUGAGAUGUGCUUAAGUGUUAUUCUAGGUAACUAGUGUGGUUGUAUCGACCCGAUUACGUCAGCACAGCAAUUGAGUGACGUAUAGCUGAAUGGAGUGUGGUUAAGGGUAUAUGACCGAUAAACAUAUAGCCGAUCUCUCAGUCGAUAAAUCGACUGAUAGAAGUGUGUGGAUAAGGAUGGGGAAACUAAGGAUCGAUCGGCCGUGUUUGACCGAUAUGGAAAAGCAACCAAAAUCGGCUUGGGUCGGCCGAUGGUAAGAACCCUAAGAUCGUGGGUGUCUCUCCG
RNAcentral lists this long non-coding RNA (2265 nucleotides) under Panicum hallii. Its description in RNAcentral is "long non-coding RNA (PHAL_LNC000231)". Lineage: Eukaryota; Viridiplantae; Streptophyta; Magnoliopsida; Poales; Poaceae. The record is from RNAcentral.